This 1090-nucleotide ribosomal RNA is filed under the name Lactiplantibacillus plantarum. RNAcentral's name for it is "bacterial SSU rRNA". It matches the Rfam family "Bacterial small subunit ribosomal RNA", at positions 451 to 1533 of the family's 1533-position model. Lineage: Bacteria; Bacillati; Bacillota; Bacilli; Lactobacillales; Lactobacillaceae. The record is from RNAcentral.
AUAUCUGAGAGUAACUGUUCAGGUAUUGACGGUAUUUAACCAGAAAGCCACGGCUAACUACGUGCCAGCAGCCGCGGUAAUACGUAGGUGGCAAGCGUUGUCCGGAUUUAUUGGGCGUAAAGCGAGCGCAGGCGGUUUUUUAAGUCUGAUGUGAAAGCCUUCGGCUCAACCGAAGAAGUGCAUCGGAAACUGGGAAACUUGAGUGCAGAAGAGGACAGUGGAACUCCAUGUGUAGCGGUGAAAUGCGUAGAUAUAUGGAAGAACACCAGUGGCGAAGGCGGCUGUCUGGUCUGUAACUGACGCUGAGGCUCGAAAGUAUGGGUAGCAAACAGGAUUAGAUACCCUGGUAGUCCAUACCGUAAACGAUGAAUGCUAAGUGUUGGAGGGUUUCCGCCCUUCAGUGCUGCAGCUAACGCAUUAAGCAUUCCGCCUGGGGAGUACGGCCGCAAGGCUGAAACUCAAAGGAAUUGACGGGGGCCCGCACAAGCGGUGGAGCAUGUGGUUUAAUUCGAAGCUACGCGAAGAACCUUACCAGGUCUUGACAUACUAUGCAAAUCUAAGAGAUUAGACGUUCCCUUCGGGGACAUGGAUACAGGUGGUGCAUGGUUGUCGUCAGCUCGUGUCGUGAGAUGUUGGGUUAAGUCCCGCAACGAGCGCAACCCUUAUUAUCAGUUGCCAGCAUUAAGUUGGGCACUCUGGUGAGACUGCCGGUGACAAACCGGAGGAAGGUGGGGAUGACGUCAAAUCAUCAUGCCCCUUAUGACCUGGGCUACACACGUGCUACAAUGGAUGGUACAACGAGUUGCGAACUCGCGAGAGUAAGCUAAUCUCUUAAAGCCAUUCUCAGUUCGGAUUGUAGGCUGCAACUCGCCUACAUGAAGUCGGAAUCGCUAGUAAUCGCGGAUCAGCAUGCCGCGGUGAAUACGUUCCCGGGCCUUGUACACACCGCCCGUCACACCAUGAGAGUUUGUAACACCCAAAGUCGGUGGGGUAACCUUUUAGGAACCAGCCGCCUAAGGUGGGACAGAUGAUUAGGGUGAAGUCGUAACAAGGUAGCCGUAGGAGAACCUGCGGCUGGAUCACCUCCUUU